AUGGAGGGGGAUAACUACUGGAAACGGUAGCUAAUACCGCAUAAUGUCGCAAGACCAAAGAGGGGGACCUUCGGGCCUCUUGCCAUCGGAUGUGCCCAGAUGGGAUUAGCUUGUUGGUGAGGUAAAGGCUCACCAAGGCGACGAUCCCUAGCUGGUCUGAGAGGAUGACCAGCCACACUGGAACUGAGACACGGUCCAGACUCCUACGGGAGGCAGCAGUGGGGAAUAUUGCACAAUGGGCGCAAGCCUGAUGCAGCCAUGCCGCGUGUGUGAAGAAGGCCUUCGGGUUGUAAAGCACUUUCAGCGGGGAGGAAGGCGGUGAGUUUAAUAAGCUCACCGAUUGACGUUACCCGCAGAAGAAGCACCGGCUAACUCCGUGCCAGCAGCCGCGGUAAUACGGAGGGUGCAAGCGUUAAUCGGAAUUACUGGGCGUAAAGCGCACGCAGGCGGGCUGUCAAGUCGGAUGUGAAAUCCCCGGGCUCAACCUGGGAACUGCAUUCGAAACUGGCAGGCUAGAGUCUUGUAG
Molecule: ribosomal RNA, 526 nt
Filed under: Enterobacter cloacae
Lineage: Bacteria; Pseudomonadati; Pseudomonadota; Gammaproteobacteria; Enterobacterales; Enterobacteriaceae
Description: bacterial SSU rRNA
Rfam family: Bacterial small subunit ribosomal RNA
Source: RNAcentral